CAAUAGGUCCGCGCAUGAGGCCUGGCAGAGAAGCGCCCGGUCUCCUCCCGGCGCGCGUGAGCUGCUGUGCGGGUUGGUGCUUUCCGCACGGAACUGUCACCCGUCACUUUGGAAAUGGAAGCAUUUCCAGCAAAGCGUUCCCAACUGAGAAGGAAGCAUCCAGGCUCCUUCGUGGCCCUGCCCAGAGUGGCGGCCCACGGGGAAUUUCCCAGGAAAGCAUGAAAGCUUCUAAUGCUUUUGUGACACAAUCAGGUCAAAUAUGAUAAGAAAUUGUUCCUCGAGAUCUGAGGAUGAAGGACAAGUUUCUAAAACACCUUACAGGCCCUCUUUAUUUUAGUCCAAAGUGCAGCAAACACUUCCAUAGACUUUAUCACAACACCAGAGACUGCACCAUUCCUGCAUACUAUAAAAGAUGCGCCAGGCUUCUUACCCGGCUGGCUGUCAGUCCAGUGUGCAUGGAGGAUAAGCAGUGAGCAGACUGUACAGGAGCAGCACAUCAGGAGCCAUGAGAAGUGCCUUGGAAACCAACAGGGAAACAGAACUAUCUUUAUACACAUCCCCUCAUGGACAAGAGAUUUAUUUUUGCAGACAGACUCUUCAAUAAGUCCUUUGAGUUUUGUAUGUUGUUGACAGUGUUUGCAGAUACAUAUUCGAUAAAUCAGUGUAUUGACAGUGAUAUCUGUCACUCUUAUUUUAAAAACAACCACAAAAGGAAUGCUCCACGUUUGAUGUGUAGUGCUAUAAAACAGAGAAUAUUUCAUUUUCUUGAUUAGCUGAAAUCACAAAAAAUGUUUCUUUAGAAACAUAAGCAGAAUCUUAAAGUAUAUUUUCAUAUAACAUAAUUUAAUAUUCCGUAUUACUUUCACUGUUAAAUUCUCAGAGUAUUAUUUGGAAUGGCAUGAAAAAUUAAAAUUUUGGUCAUGUUUUAGGAACAGUGGAGUGUAAAUCUGUGGCUAAUUCUGUUGGUCCUUUGUAUAAUAAAUGUAAAAUAGUAUUCCAGCUAUUGUGCAAUAUGUAAAUACUGUAAAUAAACACAAGUAAUAAAUGAA
This is a long non-coding RNA of Mandrillus leucophaeus (drill), 1049 nucleotides long. RefSeq lists it as uncharacterized. The record is from RefSeq and is a predicted model, not a curated record. NCBI's taxonomy places the organism in Eukaryota, Metazoa, Chordata, Mammalia, Primates, Cercopithecidae. The transcript is spliced from 5 exons.